RNAcentral lists this long non-coding RNA (202 nucleotides) under Lathyrus oleraceus (garden pea). RNAcentral's name for it is "Pisum sativum (pea) long non-coding RNA (PSAT_LNC029652)". Lineage: Eukaryota; Viridiplantae; Streptophyta; Magnoliopsida; Fabales; Fabaceae. The record is from RNAcentral.
AGUAAAAACAUAUAGGACAAUAAAUGUUUUUUAUAUAUAAUUUUUAAUUCUUUUUUUUUAAAUAAACCUGCAUAAAAUGGAACAAGUAAUACUAAUGAUAUUUUUUUUGGAUAUUUUUGUACUAUUUUUAAAUAAAAGUGCAUAAAAAUUGAAAAAUAAUAUUUAUCUAAAAAUAUUUAAUAAAAAGACAAAAACAAAAAUG